AAGAAUAAACCACAUGUCAUAAUAUUACAUCGUAGAUCCAGAAUUUAAUAUAAUACAUACCUGCAUAGCUCAAGCUAGCAUACAAACAAAAUUUAGUAGAAAAGCAAAUAAAAUCUCCAUGAAGUCCAUCAACACCACACACAAAUGUCGAGUAUAGACAUUGUAACCCUACAUCGUAUCACUCACUCGUCGUAUAAAAUCUGCAAUAUGAAAUGUUGCAGCCACGAAGAGUCAAUACUUUGAAUGUAUUGGCAAGUCACACAGGAAUUAUAUAACAGACCUACAUCUACUUGAAAGGUAUACCAAGAGGAUAGUGUAGUGGUUGUUUUGCAAAAAAGCUAAUUUUUUCUUGAUAGCUACAUAAUAGUCAAAUUUUAAUUUUGUCUUGCCAGAGAUAAUACAUAAGGUUGAAUUGGGCAAUCCGAUACCAACCUAUCCCCAUUAUUAAAUUUCCCACACAAUUUUAUUAAGGUAUCAUCUAUCAAGAUCAUAUAACAACUGUAAUGGCAUAGUGGCUCAAAUUUGCCCAUAACCGGGGGCACGGCUAAUCAUGAUUAGUUUUAAUACUCUACAAAGUUUAGUACGCUUUACCCACUAGACCCAUUCCGAAGAUUGAGACGAAGUCUUUCAGAAGACGUUCCCUUAACCACCUAACGGCCACAUCCCACCUACAUAAGCAACAUCCGUCGACACUGUCUGGGCAAGGGUUCCAACAACUGAUCAACUAAGCCAGAGCCCAUAUAGCUAGUGACAGCAUAGGGAAGCUACUAGUCACCAAGUUUGUCUGAUCUUUUUGAACCUGGGCGGCAUUCCACUUAGGGUGCACUCUCAUGAGCGCAUGGCCUUAGAAAAGGUGCAAGACCCCGUGAUGCCUUCCCUCAACACCAAACAAUACAACUUCCGCCCAGAGGUGAAUUGAAAUCCUUAAUUGCUACUCAAGUUGUUAUAUAUAUAUAUAAUCCUCAUAUAAACUUAAUUAAUACACAAACUACCCCUGUCUACAAAGCAUAGCAAACUACAACUACCACGAUCUGUAAUGACGGGAAGAUAGCUCAACAGCAUAGCUGAAAAUAAUAUAGUAUUCCUAUACAUGCAUACAUUCAUAGUGUGAUAUAACUACAUGCAUAAAAACAAUAGUUAAAGGAUGAUCAACAUGUAACUUGUCUGUAAGUUUGAUGAAGAUCGUCACACUCACAAUCCUGAUAAUUCUACUCGUCAUGCUCCGAGCAAUCUAUCGCAAAUGAGAGAAUCCAAAUAAACAACCAUGCCAUAUAGAAAAAUUAAAAGAACAAGAAAACAAAUAUGUCAAGGUUAUUUAGCAACAACAAAAAAAAUAGGUUUAAAUAUAUAUAACAUAUGGUCUCUGGUACCAAAAUGUGACAAGGUGAAGGAAUGAACUCAAAAGAUACUGGAUGAUGAACGGUUGUUAUAUAGGAUUAUAUUGGAUAUAUUAUGGAACAAGGUCAAAAGUAUAUGGAGUAGAACAUCCAAAUGGUGUAAUGAUUGCAUAUGUCAUAGGAAUUCACUAGCAAAAAUGAUAGGUUGAAUAGGAGUAUUAUAACGCAAGUCAUUACGAAAUGAAGUGUGGAUUGAAUUUGAAUUCAAAAGAGAUGGAAAAUAUUUGAAUAUUGAGUGUACAAGAUAUGAUCGGCAAGUAUUUGGUACAUGUGUUCAUAGGCAAAAGGAAUUAAUUGGAAAGGUGUCACGGUUCACCCGAUAUGAUCAAAUGAAGGUAUGGAUUCAAAUUUGAAUUGGUGAAAUUUGAAAUGUUCAAAAGUUGAAACUUAUGAGUUAAGUGAAAAGAGGGCUCUGGUACGAAACCAAUGCAAUUGGAUUUACCGAAACGGAGCUAUCGUUUAAAAGUUAUGAUGAAUUGAAUUCCAGGGGCCUAUAAGUGCAGAACCAAAUCAGCUAAACAGAAAUUAAAUCAGAAUUCUCUGCCACGUGGCGGCCUAUGAGUGGUUGAUACCGGUUCAUUGCAGAAUUAGACAGAGGCCGUUAGAUCUUAUGAAUCACGGACGGCCAGGAUCAAGCCAUGUGGCUAGGUUUUUUUAUGUGUGUUUGGGAGUUCCUCAUAGGAACAGAGGAAAUGGCGAUGGCCCUGAUCGGCGAUGGCGUUUCUCCUAGUGGCCGCAGGAGAUCAGUGAAGAUGCUGGAAGAAGAGGAGGUUCAUGGGGAGUCCUUUGGUGUCCUCAGGGAGUCCCGGUAUGCUCUGGCGAGAUUCGUUUUGCUGGGGAGCUCGAUUUGGUGCGGUCCUGGGAAAAACCAAAGGGGGAAUAGGUGCAUGCGGUCUCUGUUAAUACAUAGAAAGUCUCGGCAAGGAACGAGGCUUACCGAGGCGGGAGAAUUUCACGUCGGCGCUGCUUAGGAUGGCGGAGCUCACCGGGGUCGCUGCACUCAAUUUCGAGCUCUGUCCCGCGAGGCGAGGCAGCGAAUCGGAAGAGGAGAGCUUGGGGGUCCCGAGGUGGUGCAGACGCAUGAGAACCACGUGGGGAUCGGAGAGAUCGGGCGCGGCUGUGAGAUACGCACGGAGCGGUGGCGUACGCGAGCAGGAGAUCGGAUAGAGGUAGGAGAUGGUGAGUGGUGC
Molecule: long non-coding RNA, 2587 nt
Filed under: Triticum aestivum (bread wheat)
Lineage: Eukaryota; Viridiplantae; Streptophyta; Magnoliopsida; Poales; Poaceae
Description: long non-coding RNA (TAES_LNC010320)
Source: RNAcentral